This 253-nucleotide ribosomal RNA is filed under the name uncultured bacterium. RNAcentral's name for it is "partial 16S ribosomal RNA". It matches the Rfam family "Bacterial small subunit ribosomal RNA", at positions 524 to 776 of the family's 1533-position model. The record is from RNAcentral.
GACAGAGGGGGCAAGCGUUGCUCGGAAUUACUGGGCGUAAAGGGCGCGUAGGCGGCCAGAUAAGUCCGGUGUGAAAGCCACAGGCUCAACCUGUGAAUGCCGCUGGAAACUGUCUGGCUAGAGUCCGGGAGGGGCGAGUGGAAUUCCUGGUGUAGCGGUGAAAUGCGCAGAUAUCAGGAGGAACACCAAUGGCGAAGGCAGCUCGCUGGAACGGAACUGACGCUGAGGCGCGAAAGCGUGGGGAGCGAACAGG